This 517-nucleotide ribosomal RNA is filed under the name uncultured bacterium. Its description in RNAcentral is "bacterial SSU rRNA". It matches the Rfam family "Bacterial small subunit ribosomal RNA", at positions 50 to 564 of the family's 1533-position model. The record is from RNAcentral.
AACACAUGCAAGUCGAGCGGUUGAGGUAGCUUGCUACCGAAGCAGCGGCGAACGGGUGAGUAAUACAUGGGAAUCUGCCUGGUAGUGGGGGACAACGUUUCGAAAGGAACGCUAAUACCGCAUACGCCCUACGGGGGAAAGGGGGGGAUCUUCGGACCUCUCGCUAUCAGAUGAGCCCAUGUCGGAUUAGCUUGUUGGUGAGGUAAAGGCUCACCAAGGCGACGAUCCGUAACUGGUCUGAGAGGAUGAUCAGUCACACUGGAACUGAGACACGGUCCAGACUCCUACGGGAGGCAGCAGUGGGGAAUAUUGGACAAUGGGCGCAAGCCUGAUCCAGCCAUGCCGCGUGUGUGAAGAAGGCCUUAAGGUUGUAAAGCACUUUCAGUGGGGAGAAAGGUGAUUCACCUAAUACGUGAGUUAAUUGAUGUUACCCACAGAAGAAGCACCGGCUAACUCCGUGCCAGCAGCCGCGGUAAUACGGAGGGUGCAAGCGUUAAUCGGAAUUACUGGGCGUAAA